RNAcentral lists this ribosomal RNA (207 nucleotides) under Plasmodium falciparum (malaria parasite P. falciparum). RNAcentral's name for it is "partial 18S ribosomal RNA". The record is from RNAcentral. Lineage: Eukaryota; Apicomplexa; Aconoidasida; Haemosporida; Plasmodiidae.
UUUAAACUGGUUUGGAAAACCAAAUAUAUUAUAUAUUUUGCUUUGUUCAAAAUAAGGUUUUCUAAUAAAUUAUGUUUUUAUCAGAUAUGACAGAAUCUUUUUUAAAAUCUCUUCAAUAUGCUUUUAUUGCUUUUGAGAGGUUUUGUUACUUUGAGUAAAAUUAAGUGUUCAUAACAGACGGGUAGUCAUGAUUGAGUUCAUUGUGAA